GGUCACACAGCAGAAAUGUUAAACUUAUUAUAUGUCCUCCAAACAGAGAGGUUUAAGCCGAGGUAUUAUAUUGCUGCUGCUACUGAUAAUAUGAGUCUCCAAAAAGCACACGUGUUUGAGGAUUCCUUGCUCGGUAAGGAAGCGCCUGAGGAAGUAGGGGGAGCUGAAUUCAUGCAGAUAUAUCGAAGUCGAGAGGUUGGUCAAUCGUAUAUAACCUCAGUUGGAACCACAUUGGUUGCAAUUGCACAUGCGUUAUGGUUAAUGAUCAAGACCAGACCCCAAGUGAUUCUGUGCAAUGGCCCUGGAACGUGUAUUCCACUAUGUGUAAUUGCUUUCCUUUUCAAGGUUUUGGGAAUUAGGUGGUCAUCAAUUUUCUAUGUCGAGAGCAUUGCAAGAGUCAGGAAGCUGUCUUUAAGCGGUUUACUUCUUUACAAGCUACACAUGGCAGAUCAGUUAUUCGUGCAAUGGCCACAACUAAAAGAGAAGUAUCCGCGAGCUCAUUAUGUUGGUCGUCUUAUGUAAUAUCAGUUUCUGAUCUAUUACAGUGAGGUACGUAGUACUCGAGCUCUCUUAAUGCGUUUGAAGAGUUCUAAAAAUGGAUGUAAAGGGUCUUCCUUUGAAAGAGAAUAUCAUUGUUAUCUUCUUGAGGCAGGGAAAGAAAUUAAUGAUC
RNAcentral lists this unclassified non-coding RNA (670 nucleotides) under Hevea brasiliensis (rubber tree). Lineage: Eukaryota; Viridiplantae; Streptophyta; Magnoliopsida; Malpighiales; Euphorbiaceae. The record is from RNAcentral.